UCUUCCGAUCUCAUCUGAAUGGUGCAUGGAGUAAAGUGCGUACUUCCAACUCAAUGGUAAUAAGAGUAAAUAAUAACUGAAGGCAAGAAAUCACAUAAGAGCACUCCACCAUGCAAUAUGGGACAACAUAACCCUUUGAGAAACGGGAAAAAAAUCCUUUAGAAAAUAUCUGACUCAGUUUAAAAUCACUUUUGAAAAUAUCAUUUUCCAACAAUAUAAGCAAGUAAAUGCAGGGCAUGUAGUGCAAGUCAGCACAAAAGUCAGCCUCUCGGGCACAAGCAAGUAUGCAUAAUUGAGCUCACAACUCGCCCUUCAGGAAAUAUUCUUGUCUUCGGUCAGCCACUGUUACCUGACCCGUUUACAUCAUGCAGUGUCAUUGUUAUCACUGUCUCAAACUUUUCCACUUUGAAAGUGAUAAGAAAAUAUCAGAACAACAAAAUAAAUAUAUCAAGCAAAUGACACAAACAACAAAUAGUGCACAAAUGUAUGAAUGUAAUGCAAUGCAUAUGACGGUACACUCUAGUAUCCGCUGCGGCGUGCAGCCCGCUCCACUUACUUAAUGUCGACGGCGCUCACUAGGGGUGUAUACACACUCUGGGAGGACUGUAGCGUGCAGCCCGCUCUACUUAUUUAACGUCGACGGCGCUCACUGGGGGUUUGUACAGACUUCAGAGGGGCUCCUACAGCCCAAGCGCAAUAUCAGCUAAGUUUUGGCAUAAAACAAGUUGUCGGCCUCAAUAUCAAUAUAUAUAUAUAUAUCAUUACUCCGGUGUGCAGCCCGAGCCACCCAUAUAUUCAAAAAUCACAAUGACACUGCUGCGGUGCACAGACCAGUCCAUGCUCAGUUCAGAAAUGCAUGUAAGCCACUUGGGCAAUAUUAACAUGAUAAUCCUCAGCUCAAAACGUCAUUUAAAAUAUUGUUUAAGUUUUCAAAUCUUAGAAAGAAUGGCUGAGUUUACAAAACAACAUUAAAAUCUUGGACCGAGACCAAAUAAUAUGCAAGUAAUGCAAAAACAGUAAUAUCAAUCCCCGAAGGAUUCAAAUAGUUGGCACGGAGCCCAAACAUGGCCAUCAACCCAAACAAUGAUGGUAACAAAUAAUUUCAGUCAAAUACGCAGUAAAAUCAACAACCGAGACGGAUCAAGUUACAGUCCCCAAUGGUGCUCUACCCCACGCUCAUAUCCGGCAUUCAAGUCACCUCAAUACAAUACUAUGAUGUGCAAAUUCGGAGUUUCAAACCCUCAGGAUAUCAUUUACGAGUAUUACCCACCUCGAACCGGCAAAAUCUCUAGCCCGCGAUGCCUAUGCACCUCAGCUUGGCAUCCACGCCCGUCGAAUCUAUCCAAAUUCAGAGCAAAUAUAUCAAAAUAUGCUAAGGGCACAAUACCCAAUCGGAAACAAUCGAGAAAUAGCACAAAUCUCGAAACUAGCAAAACCGAGCCCCGGAUCCGCUUCUCGAAAAUUACAAAAAUUACAUUACCGGGUUUUUCGUCUCGCCAUGAGCCCAUACAUACCAAGAACUCCCAAAUCCUAGCUCAAAUGACCUAUCAAAUCCCAAUUUAAAAUAUAAAAAAUUCAAGCCCUCGUUUAUCAAUUUUAGGCGUAAUUUCGUUGAAUUUCUAGACCAAAUUGACAAUAUAAUCAUGUUUUUAGUUCAUAGGAUUUACCUCCAGUCAAUCCUCUUCGAAACCAUCUUCAAUUGUUCCCAAAAAGCUCUCAAGGUGCUCAACAAGGGAUGAAAAUAACCCUUAAGUCGUGGAUGAAAUGUUUUAAAAACCCACUCUGCAUGCCCAGAUUUCCUCUGUGCGAUCGCAUACAAGACAUUGCGAUCGCAUAAAACAAAAAUAUUUACCUCUGAUUUAACCCUAUGCGAUCCAAUAAGGGACCACGCGAUUGCAUUGACCAGACAACUCACACUGCGCGAUCGCAUACACAGCACCGCGAUCGCAUUGAACAAAAUCCAAACUCCAAAAUUUUCCUCUGUCCGAUCGCACCAAGGACACGCGAUCGCAUAGAAUAAAUGAUCAUUCCCCCAAAAUACCUCUAUGUGAUCGCAUAGAACAAAUGUCUGCAACACUGAUCUGCAAUUUUCUACAACAUCCCAAGUAGAAAAAUCUUCCUUUUAGCCAUCCGAUAUCACCCCGAGGCCCCCGAGACCUCAACCCAAAGCACAAACAUAAUCUACUACCUUAUUCAAACUUGCUUGAAUCAUCAAAAUUCUAACGUUUGUGAGCACAUAAUUUUUGCUCUCACGACAAUUACUCUCAAAAAUUCAAAAUAAAAUAGUUUUGUGUUGUGUGUGAUCUUUGUGGAUUUUUUGUGUUAUCUUCUCUUUAGCAUUUGCACUUGUCUGUGCGUGUUUAUUUGUUGAAUUAACGAAAAAAUAAAAAAAUAUAUGUUGCAUGCCUAUUUAGUUUUUAAGUGUGUGUUUAGGAGUUAAUUAAACCAUAAUUUUAUUUUUAAAAGGAAAAUCACAAAAAUAUGCAUUUUUAUUCUACUAUUUUAUCGUCAUUGUGUGAUUUUAUUUUUAUUAAAAUGUUUAAUUUGUGUGUUAAUUGCGUAAGUGGUAGUUGAUACUUGUGUAGUUUUAUUUUAGAUUUUACAAAUUAUUUAGGAAGUUUGUUUAAUUUUUGUUAACUAAGAAAGGAAAAGAAAAUGGUGCAAAUUGAAGAAAAUUCGGAUUGGGCUACAAAUUCAAAACCAAAAAUCAGGCCCAAUCCAUUUGUAUUUAACCCAGUCCACGACCGGCCUCUCAGAACCCUCCCAAACAACGUCGUUUUAAUGCCUCCCAUCUAGACCGUUGAUCAAUCAGAUCUAACGGUCCAAUUGAGUUCGUUCAUUAAACCAAACGACGCCAUUAAUGUGCGUUUAAUCUGAGCCGUUUAUAGCAUUGUGAUCCAACAAUCCCAGGCUUCCCAUCUCACUCGACCCAUUUAGCCCCGAACCAACCCAGCUCCACUUAAAUGGAGCGACGGCGUUUUAUCUUAGCCAAAUGAUCCUGUCCCUUCAUCUAGUCUGAUCCUACGGCCAGGAUCCAUCCGUCCAAUCCAUAUAUAUACCAUCUCCUACACCCCUUACCCCCCAAAGGAACCCUACCCUCUUCAUUCUUUUUCUCUGUCUCAAACCCUUAGAGACCAGAACCUCGAAACCUUAGCCGCCUCUAGGCGAUUUGCACCAGAAACCGGGCGGCAACAACGCCGCCGGUCACCAUAUUAACACCGUAGAACCCCCAACACACCCUGAAUCCAAAUAUACAAGCACCGGCCCUCGAAUCUUCCCACAGCUACUCGAAUCUUCAUUUGAAAAUUCGAGCCAAAACUCGAUGUAAACCAAAUCACCCCAAACUCCUACCUAGCAGUCCCCUGACCUCCCUUAGGCUUAACAUAACCUUGGUUCGAUUCAAAUCUGCCCAGAAAACCCUAAAUCCCAAAUAACCUCUAUGAACCCUAGAAAUCCGAAAACCUUGGGAUCUUCAAAUAGACCUUAAUCUGGGUGUUCUCUGAGAACACCCUGAUUGAGGUCCAUUCGACUUAAAAUGAUCGAACCCGGUUCAAUCCUGGUCGUGUUAUCCGUUGAGCCUAAAAGAUAAGUCAUUCCUCCUUUCUUUUCUUUCUUGUAUGUGCUUAUUUGUGUGUUCAUCUACAUGUUUGUUUUCAUAUAUUUGGUUUUGUUUGAUUAUUUUCUGCCAAAUCUUUCAUCAUCAGUAGACCUUUUUAUGGUCAUUUACUUAUGCUUGUUUGAUAUUUGUUAUUGUUUUGAGUCAUGUAUUCAACAUGUUGUGAGUUGUAGAAUAGUUCAGUUCAUAUUAAGUUCUUAGUUGAAAUCACUGAAUCCAUCUGAUACACCUUGAUUAAUUUAUUAUUAACUAUUUGUUAUAGUUUAUAUAGUCAAUUAAUUAAUGGUCGUCAACUAAACUCACUUGAAAACUGAAACAAGAAGAAAGACAUGACUUAUAGUUUCUAGCAUUUUGAACUGCCAGUUAAUUAAGCACCCCUUAUGUAAUUUUCUUAAGUUUUGAAUCAAUGGUCACCUUUAGGAUGAAUUGGAUAUAGCUUAAUAGUAUUUUAGUUCAAUCUGAAAUCAAUUUUACGUAUGAGUUUAUAUAGGUUAGUUUUAGACUAGUAAGCAUAGGAUUAAGGAGUUUUGAGUGAAGUCCAUGUGCUAUAGGCACACCUGAAAUUAAUAGUCAAGCUGCCCAUACACUUUGGCAUUAAAAAAUAAAAUCAAUGGGUGUUGCUAGCUGGAAAUCAGAAAUAACAUGGGGUCUUAAUAAUGAAUUAAAAUCUAACAUUUCUUUUUAAUACUUUAGAGGUGGCAUAUCAGAACAUUAAAGGUUUAAUGAUAAAAAGAGGCAAAGGCACAUGGGAAAGAUAUACAGGCUGUAAAGUGAGGAAUUUUGAGAUAAAAAAUGGCCAGUCCUAGCUAUAAAUAGGAUGGAUUCAACAUAGAAUAGGACAUAUUAAUAAGCAUCAAAGACUUAAUUCUGUGAGAUUAGAGUUGAGUAUUGGCAGUUUUUUUUAUGUCUUAAAAAUCAGAAACUCAAAACUAGAGAGAGAUUUGAAGCAUCAGAAAAUUGAGUUUAAGAAAUAGACUGAAGUUUGAAGAACAAACUAAAUUUUGAGAACAGAACAAAAUUUGAGAGAGGGGAAUAUAGGACUAAUUUUGAGAAUUUGACAGAAAAAGAGAAAAACAGGCUGAACUUUUACUUAAAUAAUUUCAGGCUGCUUUCUUUGAGUGUGGUUCAAAGAUCGGAAACUACUGUUUCUCUUGUAUCUGUCUGUUUUCUUUUGGUACUACUGAGUUGCAGUUUGGUAUUUGCUGGGUUCUCUAUUUGUUGAACACUAUUUUAUUGAGCUACCAGGCUCUUCUCUUGGUUUUAAUCUGCUUCUGGGAUUUCUGCUACUGUUAUUACUGGUUUCAUCAGUUCUGUUGUGUUGCUGAACCUGUUGUGUUGUUGUGUGUGUGUGCUACUGUUGUCUCUACUGAUCUUUCUCUUCUUCUUUUUGCUUUGCCAAUUACCAGGUACACAACUACUACACUGGUAUACUCUGUAAAGCUGAGAUGUAAAGCAUGAAUAAGAAUGAAGCCUUAAAGCUUUGAAUUUAUUUAAUUGCAUUUUUGUAUCUUAAGUUGUGUAUAUACAAUAGUUAGUCUUAUCUGUCAAAAACAUGUAGUAGUUCUACAUGUACACCUGAUGCCUAGUGCUGUAGCAGUAGAUAUCCUGUUCUGAAUGUUAGAUUAAAGAACUAAUGAUGUAGUGGUGACACUCUAAUGUUUCAGUUAUUUUACAAGCAUAUUUCUAAUGCGUAUAUAGGUUUUAGGUUGAUUAAUCAAUAACUUAAACUAGUUUAGUUAGCGA
RNAcentral lists this long non-coding RNA (5359 nucleotides) under Nicotiana benthamiana. RNAcentral's name for it is "long non-coding RNA (NBEN_LNC027179)". Lineage: Eukaryota; Viridiplantae; Streptophyta; Magnoliopsida; Solanales; Solanaceae. The record is from RNAcentral.